CAAGACAGAGGGCUUUCUUCCUCCUCCAGCCCGAGCCAGUCCACCACAAAGACAGAGAGCUGAGCUUCACCUACUCUCCGGUGGUGCCGAAGCAAGGGAGGUGCUGCCCGAAUUUUUUCCCCUCAUUUUCGUGGAAAUUUCACUCAGCCAACACAAGUGUUGUGAAUGUUUGCUACUUCAUCCUCGUGUUACGCUUUGAUUUAUGCUUUGGAGAUGGAUAGUUUAUUUGUUAGAAUGUGAUGAAGUAGAAAAUGGAGAGGUAUUUUGAGCUAAAAUGUGAGGGAGAUUGAUGUG
Molecule: long non-coding RNA, 294 nt
Filed under: Setaria viridis
Lineage: Eukaryota; Viridiplantae; Streptophyta; Magnoliopsida; Poales; Poaceae
Description: long non-coding RNA (SVIR_LNC000077)
Source: RNAcentral